This 497-nucleotide ribosomal RNA is filed under the name uncultured bacterium. RNAcentral's name for it is "partial 16S ribosomal RNA". It matches the Rfam family "Bacterial small subunit ribosomal RNA", at positions 28 to 507 of the family's 1533-position model. The record is from RNAcentral.
GACGAACGCUGGCGGCGUGCCUAAUACAUGCAAGUUGAGCGCUGAAGGUUGGUACUUGUACCAACUGGAUGAGCAGCGAACGGGUGAGUAACGCGUGGGGAAUCUGCCUUUGAGCGGGGGACAACAUUUGGAAACGAAUGCUAAUACCGCACAAAAACUUUAAACACAAGUUUUAAGUUUGAAAGAUGCAAUUGCAUCACUCAAAGAUGAUCCCGCGUUGUAUUAGCUAGUUGGUGAGGUAAAGGCUCACCAAGGCGAUGAUACAUAGCCGACCUGAGAGGGUGAUCGGCCACAUUGGGACUGAGACACGGCCCAAACUCCUACGGGAGGCAGCAGUAGGGAAUCUUCGGCAAUGGACGAAAGUCUGACCGAGCAACGCCGCGUGAGUGAAGAAGGUUUUCGGAUCGUAAAACUCUGUUGGUAGAGAAGAACGUUGGUGAGAGUGGAAAGCUCAUCAAGUGACGGUAACUACCCAGAAAGGGACGGCUAACUACGUG